UCUGCUGGGUCUGUGACACUACUUAUCCGAGGAGUCCUCAAACAUCAGGAUGUAGGAAGACACAAGUAAAAGGAGAAGAAUGCUGCUCAGCUGGGUCGGCGGUCACACUACUUAUUCAAGAAGCUCUUGGAUAUCAUCGGCAUGUAUAAAGCACAGUCAUUCCGGUAGGCACGGAGUCGUUCCUCGAUGGACGUGAUGACCUGGCACCAAAACCGCUUAAUGUGUAUGAGGCUGUGUCUGCAUCGAGGGAAGAACCCAGCACUGAAAUGACACAAAUGAAAGAGGACGUCUUCUCUGCUGGGUCUGCGACACUACUUAUCCUAGGAAUCCUCAAACAUCAGGAUGUAGGAAACUUAUGGUGAGAUUCCAAGAGCCGCCAUGAGGGAUAUGCAACCUGCAGCUUCACCAUGCUUUUGGGAGAUCAUGUACUACGUGAACCUUGAGUAUCUACAAGCCAGCUACUUUAAGUCCUUGAAAGGGUAGUGAUGUCAAUUCAAGCCAGAUCACGAGACAAGGUCCUGUACAAACUGUCAAUCUAAAUGUUGCGACAUCCCUGUCAGUUCUUUUGAACUGAAUACAUGCUGUGUUUGAAAUAUAUUAUUCGGAUAACUCCCCAUCAGGGAAUACCUUGUCUGUUAAUGACGGAUGGACAUGCCAUUGACAUGCCGUGCACACUUUGAUGUUUUUUAUUUUAAUGUUUUCUAUGUUUUCCAAUGUUCUUUUUUAUUUAUGUUCUGUUAUAUGCUGGUUAUGUAAGUACUGUAUGGAAUGUAGUGACUGUAGAGACCAAGACAAAUUUCAACCUGGGGACAAAAAGUUCACACCACUCUGUUAGCGCAGUUAUGGAUGCACUGUAAAUUUUGUAAUUAACCAAAAGUACGGUGAGAAGCCUGUUUGUGCAGAUGGACCUGCUGGCGGGCCUGUUUACUCAUAGCUAAAAAGCAACAUAUUAUCUGUGCAAAAGCACAUGGGCUCUUCGAAAAGGGGUUAAACAUUUUAAUGUGCUGUUUUACAGUGUGCUAUACAAAAGGUAAGGUGAAACUAAAUUUUUGAAAUUCUAUAAUUGUACAGUGUCACUGAAAUCAAAUGGUACAUUGGUAAAACUGAACCAUUUCCUUUAAUCCCGUUUAGCAGAGCCUAUGUUUGAACUAUACUGUCACCAAUAUUGUAAUGACUGAGUUUUAACCUGUUACUUAAGGCUCUUGG
Molecule: long non-coding RNA, 1206 nt
Organism: Engraulis encrasicolus (European anchovy)
Lineage: Eukaryota; Metazoa; Chordata; Actinopteri; Clupeiformes; Engraulidae
Exons: 5
Source: RefSeq, a predicted model, not a curated record